UCUGGGACAAGCCCUGGAAACGGGGUCUAAUACCGGAUAACACCCCCUCUCGCAUGGGAGGGGGUUCAAAGCUCCGGCGGUGCAGGAUGAGCCCGCGGCCUAUCAGCUUGUUGGUGAGGUAGUGGCUCACCAAGGCGACGACGGGUAGCCGGCCUGAGAGGGCGACCGGCCACACUGGGACUGAGACACGGCCCAGACUCCUACGGGAGGCAGCAGUGGGGAAUAUUGCACAAUGGGCGAAAGCCUGAUGCAGCGACGCCGCGUGAGGGAUGACGGCCUUCGGGUUGUAAACCUCUUUCAGCAGGGAAGAAGCGAAAGUGACGGUACCUGCAGAAGAAGCGCCGGCUAACUACGUGCCAGCAGCCGCGGUAAUACGUAGGGCGCAAGCGUUGUCCGGAAUUAUUGGGCGUAAAGAGCUCGUAGGCGGCUUGUCACGUCGGUUGUGAAAGCCCGGGGCUUAACCCCGGGUCUGCAGUCGAUACGGGCAGGCUAGAGUUCGGUAGGGGAGAUCGGAAUUCCUGGUGUAGCGGUGAAAUGCGCAGAUAUCAGGAGGAACACCGGUGGCGAAGGCGGAUCUCUGGGCCGAUACUGACGCUGAGGAGCGAAAGCGUGGGGAGCGAACAGGAUUAGAUACCCUGGUAGUCCACGCCGUAAACGGUGGGCACUAGGUGUGGGCAACAUUCCACGUUGUCCGUGCCGCAGCUAACGCAUUAAGUGCCCCGCCUGG
Molecule: ribosomal RNA, 727 nt
Filed under: Streptomyces sp.
Lineage: Bacteria; Bacillati; Actinomycetota; Actinomycetes; Kitasatosporales; Streptomycetaceae
Description: bacterial SSU rRNA
Rfam family: Bacterial small subunit ribosomal RNA
Source: RNAcentral